Molecule: long non-coding RNA, 2964 nt
Filed under: Monodelphis domestica (gray short-tailed opossum)
Lineage: Eukaryota; Metazoa; Chordata; Mammalia; Didelphimorphia; Didelphidae
Description: lncRNA (ENSMODG00000049871.1)
Source: RNAcentral
AUGGACAAAUCCUAUGGCCCCGGAUUCAGAAGAAUGAUUAUGUCUAAAUUAAGAAGAUCAAGCGUUCAGAUUAUAAAUGGUCAUGGAAACUGUCUGCCAGGGCCAGGAGAAUUAUUCCACUCAUUAAUUUUGCCACCAAUGAACAUAUUUUACAGCAGUACUGAGUCAUUAAUAUCUGACGUCAUCAUCAGGAGAGUUUUGUUUUUUUUUUCCAGGAAACCAGAGGGUCUGACUCAUUCGACUGGCCCUGCUCCAAGCCAUUAAAGCUGCAACAGUUUGUGAAAAAGCCUGCUUGUCUUUUUGGAAAACUCAGAAUCUUCCUCAUCAUCCAAGUAACUCCAGAAUCUGAAAAACGCUCCAUCUCUUAAAUUGGAGUCUUGCAUGUUUUGGAUUAUUGUUAUUUGUCAUCUUAAUUGUGCAUUGACCAUAUAUAGCCACUUACCCAUAUAAUAUGUAUGUAUGUAUAUAUAUAUAUAUAUAUAAAUAAUAGAACACAUAUACAAUUGAUAUAUAAAUACACACAUGUGUAUAUAUAUAUAUACACACACAUGCAUAGGUUGCCUUGUUGUUGUUCACUCCUUUCAGUGUUGUAUCUGACUCUUCAUGGCUCCGUUUGGAGUUUUCUCAGCAGAGAUGGUGGAAUUUGCAAUUGCCUCCCACCGGCUCAUUUUACAGAUGGGGAAACUAAGGCAAACAGGCUUAAGUGACCUGCCCAGGGUCACAUAAGAUAGUGUCUGAGGCCAGAUUUGAACCCAGGUCUUCCUGAGGGCUAGUGCUCUAUUCACUGCACCAUCUGUCUGCCCUCCUAUUCCCUAUACUCUCCACUUAAGAUCACCAUGACAAAAACUAAGAACCAGACUAUGAGAAGUCAUCUCAUUCAACUUCCUCAUUUUGAUGGAAGAGGAAACUGUGAACCAAUGAGAUUAAGUGAUGUAGUUACCUAGUUGCCCCCCAAUGUUUGGGAGGUAGCACUUAAAUGCUUGUUGAAUUGAACACCAACACCAAAGACAGGAGGACUUGCUGAUCAUAUUGGGUUACUCUAUAUCCACAUCUGAUACUGGUUUCAACAUAUUUAUUUUCCUUCUGAACUUGUGAUUUCAUUGAUAUCGGGAGUUCCCAGUGAGGAAAAUCUGCCAAUGCAGAUCAGUACCUUUGAGGCAUGUGAAAGUUGCCUGAGAACAUUAAGCUUAAAUGCCAUGUCCAGAAUCACCCAACCAAUGUGUGUUGGAGGCUAGACCUCACUCCUGACCUUCUAGCCCCUGAGGCUAGCUUUUUUUUUGUCUACCAUGCUAGACUGCCUCUCUUCCAAAUUUAAUUUUGCAAUAUGAUGGAAAGGCUGUGCAGCUAGGUGGCAUAGUGGAUAGUGUGUCAGGCCUGAAGUCAGGAAGACUCAUCUUUCUGAGUUCAAAUCUAACCUCAGAUACUUAAUCCUGACUGCCUCAGUUCCUUACCUGCAAAAGGAGCUAGGAGAAGGAAAUGGCAAACCAUUCCAGUGUCUCUGCCAAGAAAACCCCAAAUGGGGUCAUGGAGAAUCAGACACUAUUGAAAGGGAUUGAACAACAACAAAAAUGGGGAUGAUAACAGCACCUGCCUCCUAGGGUUGUUGUGAGGAUGAGAUGGGAGAACACCAAGUGUUUUGCAAAGUGCUUUUUGCAAGAGUGUUAUGUAAAUGCUAAACAAUAAGAGAAUAUGAUGAAAGUGAAGAAAAACAUAUUCCAUGUGAUUUCUUAGACUACUCUAGAUGCCAACAGAGUCUAAAGCCAGUAACUCAGAUGAUCAAUUUAGAGUUUAAAGACCCCAGCUUUCCACUUGCUAUAAAAUUUCCUAUGAUGAUGAGCUUUUUUUUUCUUAAAUAUUUCUGUCUAUAAAAUACAUUAAAAUGGAGGGAAAUGAUUAAGAACUUUGGAGAAAUUGUAUGAUUGACAGUCAAAAGCCUUACAGAUUUUUCACUAACCCAGAAGGAUGCUAUUCUAGAUUAAAACAAACAAACAAACAAAAAAUAAUCUUUACCUUUUCUCUGAGAAUCAAUGCUAAUUGUUGAUUCCAAGGCAGAAGAGCUGUAAAGGCUGGGCAAAGAGGUGCCCUUCCAUUUUUUUUUUAAUUUUACCUUCCAUCUUGGAGUCAAUACUAUGUAUUGGUUCCAAGGCAGAAGAGUAGUAAGGGCUAGGCAUUGGGGGUUAAGUGACUUGUCCAGGUCACAAAGCUAGGAAGCGUCUAAUUCCAGAUUUGAACCCAGAAACUCCUGUCUCUGGGCCUGGCUCUCAAUCCACUGAGCCACCCAGCUGCUCCCUAUCCUUCCAUUCUUGAUUAAAACAUGGAAGACAUUCCAAGAUUCAAGUCCAAAUGGUAAGAAAUAUCAGCCAUGAACAAUUGUUUUUUUCAUUUAGCAUUUAUAGACUGAAGGAUGCUCAACAAAUUGUUCUUCCGUUUUUCCUAAAACUAUAUCCCAACAUAUUACAGUAGUACAAGAGUACAUAUGGGCCGCACAUGAUGAUGUAAGGGAAAAUUAAGAACACUGAUUGAUGCGGUUUCCAGAGUCAGACAGGAAUGAAACAAUUGAACAACAAAAUUCUACUGCAUACUACAUGUUGAAGGUCACACAAGAACUUUAGAGCAGGGCCUGGGUGUUCUGCUUGGUUUAUUCUUUUUUGGCUGUUUUCCCAGCACUUAGGUCAGUGCCUAGCACAGAGUAGAUACUUAAAUAACUGUUUGAAUAACAAUUUUUUUAAUCCUUACCUUCUGUCUUAGAACCAAUACUGUGAUAAAGACUUAGCCCAGGGGUGACUUGCCCAGGGUCAUAUAGGUAGGAAGUAUCUGAGGCCAGAUUUGAACCUAGGAUCUCUCAUCUCUAGACAUGCUCUCAAUCCAAUGAGCCACUUAGCUGCCCCCUAAUUCUUCAAAGUCUGGAAAAGAUCUCUUAUAUUUGUUGUCUGUUUUAAAAAAAUAAAAGGCAACAGUAGAGCA